CAGCGCCACGAGUGGUAAUCGCUAUUAUUGGGCCUAAAGCAUCCGUAGCCGGCUCUGUAAGUUUUCGGUUAAAUCUGUACGCUCAACGUACAGGCUGCCGGGAAUACUGCAGCGCUAGGGAGUGGGAGAGGUAGACGGUACUCGGUAGGAAGGGGUAAAAUCCUUUGAUCUAUUGAUGACCACCUGUGGCGAAGGCGGUCUACCAGAACACGUCCGACGGUGAGGGAUGAAAGCUGGGGGAGCAAACCGGAUUAGAUACCCGAGUAGUCC
Molecule: ribosomal RNA, 270 nt
Filed under: uncultured archaeon
Lineage: Archaea
Description: partial 16S ribosomal RNA
Rfam family: Archaeal small subunit ribosomal RNA
Source: RNAcentral